Molecule: long non-coding RNA, 697 nt
Filed under: Homo sapiens (human)
Lineage: Eukaryota; Metazoa; Chordata; Mammalia; Primates; Hominidae
Description: HSALNT0350877
Source: RNAcentral
CAAAUGAAUAACCACACUGAAAGGGGGAAAAAGAAAUCUGAGUAGUUUAUGAAUACCCAUUAGACCAUAUUCCAUUAGACUUAGGUAGCGUGGGAGUCAGGAAGGACUUAAACACUAAACUCUUUUUACUGGGUUUGUUUUUGUACAGCAUGGACACAGAAGGAUUCUGAAAUGAUUUUAGAUAUUUCGUGGUAUUGAGCAAAUCAGUAAACACAUUGUUGUUGAGAUCCAGAGUUCUCACUGUGGAGAAGAAAGUUACAAAUACAGAAAGAGAGAAGACAUGGAUGUAAGAAGAAUGGACUGCAAUUGGAGGUACUAGCUGCCAUGCUGUGAGCAGCCCUAUGGAGAGGACCAUGUGGUGAAGAUAUGAGAGAAACUUCUGGUCAACAGCCAGUGAAGUACUGAAUCCUGCCAACAACCAUGUGAGUGAGCAGGAAAGUGGAUCCUCCCCACACUGAGCCUUCAGAUGAGACCACAGCCCUAGCCUACACAUUGAUUAUAACCUGGUCAAAGGACCCAGCUAGGCCACAUGCAUACACCUAACUCACAGAAACUGAGAUCAUAAAUGUUUGCUACUUUCAACUGCUAAGUUUUGAAGUAACUUGUUAUGUAUCUAUAGAUAACUAACACACCAUGUUCCUUGACAAAACUGGAAGCUGCAUAGUAGAUUAUAUUAAAGUAUUAUAUCAAUGUUAAA